RNAcentral lists this ribosomal RNA (490 nucleotides) under uncultured bacterium. Its description in RNAcentral is "bacterial SSU rRNA". It matches the Rfam family "Bacterial small subunit ribosomal RNA", at positions 28 to 519 of the family's 1533-position model. The record is from RNAcentral.
GAUGAACGCUGGCGGCGUGCUUAACACAUGCAAGUCGAACGGACUUUUAUUGAAGCCUAGCGAUAUAAAGUUAGUGGCGGACGGGUGAGUAACGCGUGAAUAACCUGCCUUAUACUGGGGGACAACAGUUGGAAACGACUGCUAAUACCGCAUAAGCGCACUAAAGCUGCAUGGCUCAGUGUGAAAAACUCCGGUGGUAUAAGAUGGAUUCGCGUCUGAUUAGCUAGUUGGUGAGGUAACGGCUCACCAAGGCGACGAUCAGUAGCCGGCCUGAGAGGGUGAAACGGCCACAUUGGGACUGAGACACGGCCCAAAACUCCUACGGGAGGCAGCAGUGGGGAAUAUUGCACAAAUGGGGGGAAACCCUGAUGCAGCGACGCCGCGUGAGUGAAGAAGUAUUUCGGUAUGUAAAGCUCUAUCAGCAGGAAGGAAAAAUAGACGGGUAACCUGACUAAGAAGCCCCCGGCUAACUAACGUGCCAGCAGCCGCG